CUUAAGUUGACAGCACUCAUCCGCUUUAAGUCAUUUGAAAAAAUAGAAAGCGUGGGAAACUUCCCCACGCAAAUUGUAGCAAAUUUGUAGGCGGAUCUUCUGCCAUACGUGGACCUUGUGUACAGCACCAACUAGCCAACGCCGAGUGACAAGCGACGCCGGCAACGGUCGACCACCAGAUGACAAGAGACGAGACCAAGAGCAGUGAAAAUAGACAACGAGAGAGGAGACGACGAGAAGAGAGAAAAACCGCAAUUAAACAUUCAGAAGUUGAUGCAAACAACAUUGGCAUUGAGAAGGAAGGAGAUCAUAUCAGACGUCCUUCCCCGCAGACAUAGCCUAUUGGUUCGGUGGUGGCCUGCAAUCAUGUUGGAAUCCCAGGGAUCCUCAGAUGUAAAUAUCCGACGUGCUGUGGCGCUCCGUGGCCUUCCUUUCUACCUCCAUGAGGAUGAUGCCACUUUUCUAAAGACAUGGGAUUUAAGUCUCUCAAUCGGAGUUCCCAGAUAUUGAGGACCUUACUGUUGAACUCAUUCUGAUCAGCACGAACAGUGCAAAUGCAUCCCUCUGCCCAAAGAAGACUCCUGUUGUUUUGGAAUGAAAUGAUUGUUGAAUUUCCUAGCAUUGGUCAGGCAUUUGUCAUAAAGUAUCUAUCUAUCUAUCUAUCUACAGUAGAUAGAUAGUAUCUAUCUAUCUAUCUAUCUAUCUAUCUAUCGAUCUAUCUAGUCUUUAUGCCCUUGAUCUAAACUGUGUUUAUUUGAAUUUAGCCUCCACUACAGCCCUGUUCUGAACUCCAACCUGUAUUUGUUUCCAUGGUUUACAUGAAAAUAAAAGAUUAAGAAGAAUUUCA
This is a long non-coding RNA of Alosa sapidissima (American shad), 847 nucleotides long. RefSeq lists it as uncharacterized. The transcript is spliced from 4 exons. The record is from RefSeq and is a predicted model, not a curated record. Lineage: Eukaryota; Metazoa; Chordata; Actinopteri; Clupeiformes; Clupeidae.